UACGUAGGGUGCAAGCGUUGUCCGGAAUUAUUGGGCGUAAAGAGCUCGUAGGCGGUCUGUUGCGUCGGCUGUGAAAACCCGAGGCUCAACCUCGGGCCUGCAGCCGAUACGGGCAGACUAGAGUUCGGCAGGGGAGACUGGAAUUCCUGGUGUAGCGGUGAAAUGCGCAGAUAUCAGGAGGAACACCGGUGGCGAAGGCGGUUCUCUGGGAAUGACCUGACGCUGAGGAGCGAAAGUGUGGGGAGCGAACAGG
This 253-nucleotide ribosomal RNA is filed under the name uncultured bacterium. Its description in RNAcentral is "partial 16S ribosomal RNA". It matches the Rfam family "Bacterial small subunit ribosomal RNA", at positions 524 to 776 of the family's 1533-position model. The record is from RNAcentral.